RNAcentral lists this ribosomal RNA (491 nucleotides) under uncultured bacterium. RNAcentral's name for it is "partial 16S ribosomal RNA". It matches the Rfam family "Bacterial small subunit ribosomal RNA", at positions 30 to 507 of the family's 1533-position model. The record is from RNAcentral.
AUUGAACGCUGGCGGCAUGCUUUACACAUGCAAGUCGAACGGUAACAGGCCUUCGGUGCUGACGAGUGGCGAACGGGUGAGUAAUGCAUCGGAACGUGCCCAGAGGUGGGGGAUAACGCAGCGAAAGCUGUGCUAAUACCGCAUGUGAUCUGAGGAUGAAAGCGGGGGACCAGGCAGCAAUGUUUGGCCUCGCGCCUUUGGAGCGGCCGAUGUCAGAUUAGGUAGUUGGUGGGGUAAAGGCCUACCAAGCCGACGAUCUGUAGCUGGUCUGAGAGGACGACCAGCCACACUGGGACUGAGACACGGCCCAGACUCCUACGGGAGGCAGCAGUGGGGAAUUUUGGACAAUGGGCGCAAGCCUGAUCCAGCAAUGCCGCGUGCGGGAAGAAGGCCUUCGGGUUGUAAACCGCUUUUGUACGGAACGAAAAGGCUCUGGCUAAUACCUGGGGCUGAUGACGGUACCGUAAGAAUAAGCACCGGCUAACUACGUG